GUAGAAGGAAUAGGGGAAAGAGGUGGGUCUGAGCCGCGUGCCCAGCGUAAGAGAGAGGGGGUAGGAAGGGGGUGAGUAAGAAAAGUUAGGCUGGGGGUUUUUGGGAAAAAUUUAGAUUUUCUUUUGUAGAAUAAUAGAUUAAAUUCGUAUAUCACCAUUUAAAUCACAGAAAUUUCUAGGGGUGUCCAAAAUUAGUGAAACCAAUUUUGUUAAGAUUAUUUUAUUUUCCUUUAUGCAUUAAAAAAUUUUAUAUCCUAGGAAAAAUAAUAAAAUUUAGGUAUUUGUUUAAUGCCUUUUCAUUAAAGGUAUUUAAAUAAAUACUUAACC
Molecule: long non-coding RNA, 327 nt
Filed under: Setaria viridis
Lineage: Eukaryota; Viridiplantae; Streptophyta; Magnoliopsida; Poales; Poaceae
Description: long non-coding RNA (SVIR_LNC008046)
Source: RNAcentral